Molecule: ribosomal RNA, 253 nt
Filed under: uncultured bacterium
Lineage: Bacteria
Description: partial 16S ribosomal RNA
Rfam family: Bacterial small subunit ribosomal RNA
Source: RNAcentral
CUUUUUGUCUGGCGACCGGCGCACGGGUGAGUAACACGUAUCCAGCCUGCCCUUUACUCGGGGAUAGCCUUUCGAAAGAAAGAUUAAUACCCGAUAGCAUAAUGAUUCCGCAUGGUUUCAUUAUUAAAGGAUUCCGGUAAAGGAUGGGGAUGCGUUCCAUUAGGUUGUUGGUGAGGUAACGGCUCACCAAGCCUUCGAUGGAUAGGGGUUCUGAGAGGAAGGUCCCCCACAUUGGAACUGAGACACGGUCCAA